GUUUGAAUUGGCGCAUUGCCAAAAACAAUCCACCCGAGUUGAGUAUUCUGUGCAAUUGGUGCUACAGGCUCAUUUCCCCUUACUAUUUCUGGCAAAACGACCUCGGAGAAGACACCACUACCUAGGAGCAAGUCAACACUAGAAGGUUUAUAGAAAGAAGGAUCAGCCAAACACAAACCCUGAAUGUGACCCCAUUGAUCAGGCAGAAUUUCUCUAUUGGGAAGUAAACCAGUUAUAGUUUUGAGAACAAACGCCCUAGCAUCAGUUUGAAAAGAGAGAAUUCCAUGAAGGUACGACAUUUUUUUAGACAAAGUUGUUGUACCGCUCGUUCAGUGAUGAAUGUUGAUUCUGAACCAGGAUCUAGCAGCGCUCUCAAACUGAUGAAUUCUCCGUUGGCUGAUUGUAUUUGGAUGACUGCUGUAGCAAGUAACACCAUAGUACUCAAGGGAUUUGCGACGUGAUAAUUUUGAUAAAUUUGCGAAGUGGCAGCUUGGCUAGUACUCGGAUUGAAUGGUUUCGCGUUUGGAUUAAUCUGCGCAUUCGAUGUAGCUGAAUUAAAACUGGAACAAUUCGCUUGAUUGGAUUGUGAAUUUUGAGAAUUUUGGCUGAAAUUAGAAUUUUGAGCAAUAAGAGAACUGUGCAAAAGCG
Eupeodes corollae is the source of this 648-nucleotide long non-coding RNA. RefSeq lists it as uncharacterized. The record is from RefSeq and is a predicted model, not a curated record. NCBI's taxonomy places the organism in Eukaryota, Metazoa, Arthropoda, Insecta, Diptera, Syrphidae. The transcript has 3 exons.